RNAcentral lists this ribosomal RNA (469 nucleotides) under Centipeda noxia. RNAcentral describes it as "bacterial SSU rRNA". It matches the Rfam family "Bacterial small subunit ribosomal RNA", at positions 28 to 468 of the family's 1533-position model. Lineage: Bacteria; Bacillati; Bacillota; Negativicutes; Selenomonadales; Selenomonadaceae. The record is from RNAcentral.
GACGAACGCUGGCGGCGUGCUUAACACAUGCAAGUCGAACGGAGCGAAUGAAAGCUUGCUUUUAUAAGCUUAGUGGCAAACGGGUGAGUAACACGUAGGCAACCUGCCGACAGGAUGGGGACAACAUUCCGAAAGGAAUGCUAAUACCGAAUGAAGCGCAGGAGAGGCAUCUCUCCUGCGUGAAAGAUGGCCUCUAUAUAUAAGCUAUCACCUGUCGAUGGGCCUGCGUCUGAUUAGCUGGUAGGUGAGGUAACGGCUCACCUAGGCGACGAUCAGUAGCCGGUCUGAGAGGAUGAACGGCCACAUUGGGACUGAGACACGGCCCAGACUCCUACGGGAGGCAGCAGUGGGGAAUCUUCCGCAAUGGGCGCAAGCCUGACGGAGCAACGCCGCGUGAGUGAAGAAGGUCUUCGGAUCGUAAAGCUCUGUUGAUGGGGACGAACGUGCCUAAUGCGAAUAGUAUUAGGUC